RNAcentral lists this ribosomal RNA (253 nucleotides) under uncultured bacterium. Its description in RNAcentral is "partial 16S ribosomal RNA". It matches the Rfam family "Bacterial small subunit ribosomal RNA", at positions 524 to 776 of the family's 1533-position model. The record is from RNAcentral.
UACGUAGGGUGCAAGCGUUAAUCGGAAUUACUGGGCGUAAAGCGUGCGCAGGCGGUGAUGUAAGACAGUUGUGAAAUCCCCGGGCUCAACCUGGGAACUGCAUCUGUGACUGCAUCGCUGGAGUGCGGCAGAGGGGGAUGGAAUUCCGCGUGUAGCAGUGAAAUGCGUAGAUAUGCGGAGGAACACCGAUGGCGAAGGCAAUCCCCUGGGCCUGCACUGACGCUCAGGCGCGACAGCGUGGGGAGCAAACAGG